This 330-nucleotide small nuclear RNA is filed under the name Chinchilla lanigera (long-tailed chinchilla). RNAcentral describes it as "7SK RNA (ENSCLAG00000022061.1)". It matches the Rfam family "7SK RNA". From Rfam's summary of the family: 7SK was discovered as an abundant small nuclear RNA in the mid-70s but a possible function has only recently been suggested. Two independent studies have found that 7SK RNA binds the CDK9/cyclin T complex (known as elongation factor P-TEFb). The record is from Rfam by way of RNAcentral. Lineage: Eukaryota; Metazoa; Chordata; Mammalia; Rodentia; Chinchillidae.
GGAUGUGAGGGCGAUCUGGCUGCCACAUCUGCUACCCCACUGAUCGCCAGGGUUGGGCCGGCUGAUCUGGCUGGCUCUGCGGGUGUCCCCUUCCUCCCUCAACGCUCCCUGUGCGCUCCCUGUGCGACCCUCCCAAAGCCGCGCGCUCGGUCGAAGAGGACGCCCUCCCGCGAUAGAGGAGGCCGUUCCUCGGUCAAGGGUAUAGGAGCAGAUGUGCUCCCCUGCUAGAAUCUCCAAACAAGCUCCCAAGACAAAGUCCCAAAGACAGUGAAGUUCAAUUUUCCCCAGCUGUCUAAACCAAGCUGUUUUUUUUCCAAAGAAGCAGAUUUU